GACAGAGGGUGCAAACGUUGUUCGGAAUUACUGGGCGUAAAGCGCGUGUAGGCGGCCCUGCAAGUCGGAUGUGAAAUCCCACGGCUCAACCGUGGAAGUGCAUUCGAAACUGCAGGGCUAGAGUCCUGGAGAGGAAGGCGGAAUUCUCGGUGUAGAGGUGAAAUUCGUAGAUAUCGAGAGGAACACCGGUGGCGAAGGCGGCCUUCUGGACAGUGACUGACGCUGAGACGCGAAAGCGUGGGGAGCAAACAGG
RNAcentral lists this ribosomal RNA (253 nucleotides) under uncultured bacterium. RNAcentral describes it as "partial 16S ribosomal RNA". It matches the Rfam family "Bacterial small subunit ribosomal RNA", at positions 524 to 776 of the family's 1533-position model. The record is from RNAcentral.